AGCUCCAUUAGAGUAUAUUAAAGUUGUUGCAGUUAAAAAGCUCGUAGUUGGAUUUCGGUGCGGGUCGCGUCGGUCGGUCGCAAGACUUGUUUACUGGCCGGCCUGUUCUUUCUCUCCGAGACCUCGCGUUUCCUUUACUGGAUGCGCGUGCGAAUCGGAGGCGUUUACUUUGAAAAAAUUAGAGUGUUCAAAGCAGGCACGUUGUGGCCACUGAAUACAUGAGCAUGGAAUAAUGGAAUAGGACUACGGUCCCUAUUUCGUUGGUUUCGAGGACCGAAGUAAUGAUUAAGAGGGACAGUUGGGGGCAUUCGUAUUUAAUUGUCAGAGGUGAAAUUCUCGGAUUUAUGAAAGACGAACAACUGCGAAAGCAUUUGCCAAGGAUGUUUUCAUUAAUCAAGAA
This 400-nucleotide ribosomal RNA is filed under the name phytoplankton environmental sample. Its description in RNAcentral is "partial small subunit ribosomal RNA". It matches the Rfam family "Eukaryotic small subunit ribosomal RNA", at positions 587 to 983 of the family's 1831-position model. The record is from RNAcentral.